AACCCAUGAUGAGGGCACUUGAUCAAUAGCUCUUUGAAUCGCUCUCACGUCUCGUAAAAAGAUUCUCCCUCCUUUUGGCAGAACUCCUGAAUCAUGCUCCUUAGACU
Molecule: non-coding RNA, 107 nt
Organism: Helianthus annuus (common sunflower)
Lineage: Eukaryota; Viridiplantae; Streptophyta; Magnoliopsida; Asterales; Asteraceae
Source: Rfam